This is an RNA transcript of Pungitius pungitius (ninespine stickleback), 4789 nucleotides long. It is a transcript of the gene named protein tyrosine phosphatase non-receptor type 12, with no coding region annotated. The record is from RefSeq and is a predicted model, not a curated record. The transcript is spliced from 17 exons. Lineage: Eukaryota; Metazoa; Chordata; Actinopteri; Perciformes; Gasterosteidae.
UAGCGAAUAACUAGCAGCAGUGUGUGUGAAUGUGGCAACCGAGGUAGACAGGGAGGGGUAGAUAGACUGACCGGACCAGGUUUUUUUUUUGUUGUCUUCGUCCUUUCUUUUUCUUUUCUCUCAGUGCCAAGUGUGUGCUCUUUCUGUGACGCCACGGCGGUAAACUUGCCCGUAGACGUGACCGCCCGGCUGCCGUUGCUUCUCCUCGGGACGAACCGUUGUGAAAACAGCCCAGAAGAAAGAAGAAAAAAAAGGGAGAAACAACAUGGGGCGAUAAUUAAAAAAAAAAAAGGUGUUGUGUUCUGGACCGACGAUGAGUCUCUGGGAGGAUCCGUAAAGCUUAUUUAUUUUUAUUUAUUCCCCUCUUCCCUUUCCCUUCUGUCGCUUUUUUUUGGUUUUAUUUUUGAAAUUGUCUCCUCCCUUCCUCAUUCGGGAGGUUUACUAUUUUUUUCCAAGAAGGGGGAAAAGGCAACGGGAUACGUUACAAGAGGACUGAAGGAUGGACCAAGCCGGCAUCCUGAGAAAGUUUAUCCAGGGGGUGAAGGCCAUGAGCGAGGGGGACGAGGAGAGGGGAGAGGACAACUUCGGCAGCGACUUUAUGCGGUUACGACGGUUGUCGACGAAAUAUCGGACGGAGAAGAUCUACCCCACCAACGUAGGAGAGAGGGAGGAGAAUGUCAAGAAGAACCGAUAUAAAGAUAUACUGCCAUUUGAUCACUCCAGGGUGAAGCUGACGUUAAAAACUACCAAUCAGGACACAGAUUACGUCAAUGCCAACUUCAUCAAGGGUAUGGACGGCCCCGAGGCCUAUAUCGCGACUCAGGGCCCACUACCCAACACUGUGGCCGACUUCUGGAGGAUGAACUGGGAGUACAACGUAGCUGUUAUCGUGAUGGCUUGUCGAGAGUUUGAGAUGGGACGGAAAAAGUGUGAGCGGUAUUUCCCGCUGCUCGGGGAGCAGCCAAUGAGUUUUGGCCCUUUCAAAAUCUCCUGUGAAUCCGAGCAGACCAGAACGGACUACUUUAUCAGGACUCUGACGGUGGAGAAUGAGAACGAAACUCGGAGGAUAACCCAGUUUCAUUACAUGAACUGGCCGGAUCACGACGUCCCCUCGUCUUUUGACUCCAUACUGGAUAUGAUCGGACUAAUGAGAGAAUACCAAGAGAACGACGACGUCCCAAUAUGUGUGCACUGCAGUGCCGGCUGUGGGAGGACGGGGGCUAUCUGUGCUAUCGACUACACAUGGAACCUCCUCAAAGCCGGAAAAAUCCCCGAAGAUUUUAACGUUUUUCGGUUGAUCCAAGAGAUGAGGACGCAACGACACUCCGCCGUGCAGACAAAGGAGCAGUACGAGUUAGUUCAUAAAGCCAUCGCCCAGCUCUUUCAGAAACAACUGCAGCGACUGGAGAGCCCGACCACCAAGAUACAAGAUGGCAUGAUAACAAAAGAAGCGACCCGAGUCUUAAAAUGCAGCGCUAACGACAGCAGUCCAGAUAAAGCAGGCCACCACUCGGAUGACGACAGAUGGGACACGCCUCCUCCGAAACCUCCCCGCGUACGCAGUUCGCAGGCAGAAGGCGACGUGAAGGAGGAGAUACUCCAGCCCCCGGAGCCUCACCCCGUACCUCCCAUCCUCACCCCGUCUCCGCCUUCGGCCUUCCCCACCGUCACCAACGUGCGGCAGGACAACGACCGCUACCACCCCAAACCUGUCAUCCACGUCCUGGCUACCGCACAGAAUAAAGACGCUGACGAGCAGCAGAACCGAUCCGACCGCAGUCCCAACAAGCACACCAGUCCCGCAGAGCCGAAAGACACAGAUCUACCGAGUCAGAAACGGCAGAGUCAGGCCUCAAAAAAUGAUCUCAAUGACAAUUACAGCAACACGUUGACGUCCUCCGCCCAAAGCCAGACUCCCUCCUCGCCCCUCCCCCCGGCUGUCGAAUGUUCCGGCGCUCCCCGGAUUGAGAGGAAGCUGAGCAUCGAGAUCAAAAAAGUGCCGCUGCAGGAGGGACCUCGUAGUUUUGACACGUCCUCCGCCUCCGUCGUGGCGGUGGCAGGCGGAGGAGGAGUAGUAGGAGGAGGAGGAAUAGUAGGAGGAGGAGGAGGAGGAGGAGGAGGAGGCCCGGCCAACAGCGCAGCAGCGCUGCAGAGAACCCACGCCUUCAAAGCCCGCUCCGGCACCUCCCUGCUGACGUCGAGCUCCUCGCUGUCGGAGGACUCGGGCACGGAGGGAGGGGCGGGUGGAUGCGUGGAGGGUCUUGCGGGCCCCCCCGCCCGACCGAACUACCUUCCUAUGACGAGCGAGAAGGGGGAGGCGCCCUGGGGAGAGAGGGCGGAGGCGAAGGCCGGCCACGCGGCGUGGGCCCAGGCGGCCUGCAACAGCCCGGAAAAACAUUUCCCCAAAACCACCUCGUCGUCGUCCUGUGAUCGCGUCGCUCCGUCCUCGUCCUCCCCCUCCUCCCACCUCUCCUCCUCCUGCUCCUCCUCUACCACCUCCUCAACAACACCCACAAGGACUGCCCUUAGUUUCACCAACCCGCUGCACUCCGAUAACUCGGACGAGGAGGUGGGCAGAGAGAUGCUCGGUGGGAAGGAGGGUUGUCGCACUAACAUAUCCACGGCAACGGCCGUGGUGACCACGUCGUCUCACCGCGGAGAGCAGCAGCCAGUCCGAAAGGUGUCGCCCAUGUCCAUCGCGGGGCAGAGCGCUGCAACUUAUGUGUGUUUGUCGCAGCAAGCGGAUUUUAGAACUAAGGAGAGAGAGAGAGAGAGAGAGAGAGAGAAAAAAACAAUCCUAUUUUGUGUGUUUUUAUGUGUGCAUGUUGGAUGGUGAAGGACCGACGCUGCAUGAGACUGAUGAGCACACGUUGGGUCGAGCAGAGCCGCACGGCGCCGCUUUCGCGUCGGUGCGAGCACGCUGUCGUGACCCUGACAUGUCGUUUUGAUCCUCCGGUGUGCACAGAAUGAUGUGGUUCCGCCUCGCUCGAUUUCAAAACCUCCAGAUUCUGAAAUCUUGCCGUGAGAGACUUCUUGCUGUAAUUGGAGCUGACGUGGGGCGGUUGAAGUGGACGCCUGGCUUGGAGCGGGUUUUGAUCUUGAUUUGGGUUCAAGGCUGAAUGAAGUGAGACCUAACUGCAUUUUCUACUUGGAUUUUACUGUGAGGGUGCAUGAUUUAAAUUACAACCAGAAUAAAUAAUCUCUCUGAACAGAAAGAGCCCACUCUUUUGUUUGGGCCGACAAGCUUUUUUUGAAGCACAAAAAGCCUUCAAAACAAACUUAAAUCUGUGAGAAUCAAAUGACGGUUUCCCUCCUAAUGUCUGGCAUCAUGCACUCCGGAGUCAUUUCCAAUAUUCAGAAUGAACAUGUUGGUCUCACAGUCCUGAAGGGGCCUGGUCUGCGUUUUGGUCUGCUUGGCUUUCUGGCUCGUCGUCUCCUGGGGCUCCGGGGGGGGGGGGGGGCUCGCUUUGAGGUUCGGUUCAUGACACCGCUGACGGCUGCUGUUUGUGUGGUGCCGAGGAUCUAACGACCGCUUGUUGCCAAGCGGAAGCUGGUGGCUGCUUGAUCUGUUGUUUGAACCGCCAAUUGGUCUGUCACACUGAAUUAAUGUGGCACGUUGUUUUUGUAGGGCGGCGCACUCGGUGGCAAACUAACUAGAAGUACAAAUAACAACAAAAAUGUUUGCCUCUCCUGGCAAAAGUAAUAAGAGGGCAAUGAAACACAAAACAAUAAUAUAAUAAAUAAUAUUAACAAUCAGUAUUCAAUUAUCUCAUCUAAUUCAUUUUUUCUGCUAUUGACUUUGCGUGCUUCUUGUUUAUUUAAAUCCAUCCCCACCACGGGGCUAAUGACAAAAAAAGCCACUCCUUUUUAGAGUCUCUUCAAAAGCAAUACCUCGACACUUCAUAGCCUCUGAGUUAAUUUGCUCUGUCCUGCUGCCCCCCCCCCCCCGUCCCCCUCUGGGUGAAAGAACAUUUGAUUAAGGGGAGCGACCAGACUCGCUGAUGGUCGACAAUAAGUCAUUGAUACUAAAAGAUUCCUUGGAUGUAAAAAUAUAAAUAUAUAUUUUUUAACUUUAGCUAGACAGUGAAGUAAAGGAGAUCCAACCGAGAGUUAUUGUCAGGCUCCAUAAAGCAUCGCUAUCAGCGCCGAUACAGUUCUCAGUAUUUGGCAUUUGUUCAUCUGAUUCUUGCUGUUACAGAUUGAAUCACUAAUUGUUUACAACCAAUUUUUAAAAAAGGAUGAUCAAAUGUAUUCACGCUUUUCUGGAAAAUUCAGCAGGAACAUAUAUUCAUAAUAUGGAGUUGGCAAAGAAAUAAAUAAGUUAUGUUGAGAACAAUAAAUUAUAAUGGUUCAAAUAUAUUUAACAUUUAACUGCUUUUCAAACUUGUUUCAAUGGAAUGUUCUUGAAAAUAUAAUAAAAUAUAGAUAAUAUAAAUUAAAUAAUAUAUACAGACAGAAUACAGAUAUCUAAUUUAUUUGUUAUAAUUGCUUUACAAGGUGAUUUAACAGAUCAUUAUCAUCCUUUUUGUUUUCUAGAAAUCUAAUAUUAGAGAAAUGGAGCGAAGACCAGUUUGAAGCUUUUCUCCAUUUAUUUUUGAAUGCCGAUCGCUUGCCUCCCUUUUUUUCCCGGAGAGUCAUAGACGUUGCUUCUCAUUUGACCUCUGACCUUUUCUUAAACCCCAGACUGCUGGGACAGCGACGACUCCCCUCCCCCCCUCCCCGCGAGAACCCCCGAGUCCUUCCUGCUGGCCACAGACCACCUGGAAGGGAAGCCGUUGGCCUCGGCCGA